Molecule: ribosomal RNA, 498 nt
Filed under: uncultured bacterium
Lineage: Bacteria
Description: partial 16S ribosomal RNA
Source: RNAcentral
GUAGUUAGCCGGGGCUUCCUCCUUGGCUACCGUCACUUUCUUCGUCACCAAGGACAGAGGUUUACAACCCGAAAGCCUUCUUCCCUCACGCGGCGUUGCUGGGUCAGGCUUGCGCCCAUUGCCCAAUAUUCCCCACUGCUGCCUCCCGUAGGAGUCUGGACCGUGUCUCAGUUCCAGUGUGGCCGAUCAGCCUCUCAGCUCGGCUACCCAUCGUUGGCUAGGUGGGCCGUUACCCCGCCUACUACCUAAUGGGACGCGAACCCCUCCCUCAGCGGAUUGCUCCUUUGACCUCAUCCCGAUGCCGGGUCGUGGUCUUAUGCGGUAUUAGCACUUGUUUCCAGGUGUUAUCCCCCUCUGAAGGUCAGGUUGUUCACGCGUUACUCACCCGUUCGCCACUAAAAUUUAUCUUCCAUCCGAAAACUUCUGAUAAAUCUCCGUUCGACUUGCAUGUGUUAGGCACGCCGCCAGCGUUCGUCCUGAGCCAUAAUCAAACUCUGA